CGUGUUCCUUCUCCCCUGCUGACAGGUGGCUCUGCUUUCUCUUUCAAGUCACUGUGAAGACCUUUUCAUAUUUUGGAUGCACUGUCCUGGGUGUAAAGGAAUCCCUGAGUGGCACCAAUUGUAACCAAGCGGCUGGAGGUGUAAGGCCUCCCAGAGGCAGCUUGGUGGCCACUGGAACCCCUGUGGAGCCCAUCCUUACUCUGAGACAUGUACGGUCUGAACAGCAAUUGAUCAUUGGUUGUCCUCCUUAAAGCAGGUGGUCCUUGUAUGAAACACUAAAUGAUAGCCAGAAUCAUGGGAGGGGGUGGGAUGACUUGUUUUGCAAGUUGAUGGACAUGUUUGGUUGUUUGUGUAAAGGCACUAAGUUUGCCGACCACAGGGACAUAGUAUAAUUCACCGUUUCAAAGACCUUGUAUAAAACGCUAAAUGAUAGCCAGAAUCAUGGGAGGGGAUGGGAUGACUUGUUUUGCAAGUUGAUGGACAUGUUUGGUUGUUUGUGUACAGGCACUAAGUUUGCCAACCACAGGGACAUAGUAUAAUUCACCUUUUCAAAUACCUAACUCAGUAUUGUGAAAUUAUAUCUGUAACCAAUGUGAAACGUGUUUCCGUUUUCUCGUCUGUUCUACCACUGGGGAGGAUGUUCGGGCCAUUAAAGCUCAUUUCCAUGAGAUGAAUCCAA
This is a long non-coding RNA of Echinops telfairi (small Madagascar hedgehog), 679 nucleotides long. RefSeq lists it as uncharacterized. The record is from RefSeq and is a predicted model, not a curated record. The transcript is spliced from 2 exons. NCBI's taxonomy places the organism in Eukaryota, Metazoa, Chordata, Mammalia, Afrosoricida, Tenrecidae.